AUAAAAGUUUUCUAGGGUUCCGCGAUAUUUAUAUAUCGGCAGGUCCGAGAGAAAACGCACAGCCUAAAGGUUGUGUCACGGAGGGAUAAAAGCCUGGGAGAU
Molecule: small RNA, 102 nt
Filed under: Paenibacillus sp.
Lineage: Bacteria; Bacillati; Bacillota; Bacilli; Caryophanales; Paenibacillaceae
Also listed under: 1 other name
Description: Guanidine-I sequence
Rfam family: Guanidine-I riboswitch aptamer
About the family: This family represents a conserved RNA structure found upstream of the ykkC and yxkD genes in Bacillus subtilis and related genes in other bacteria. The function of this family is unclear although it has been suggested that it may function to switch on efflux pumps and detoxification systems in response to harmful environmental molecules.
Source: RNAcentral